Hypanus sabinus (Atlantic stingray) is the source of this 5553-nucleotide long non-coding RNA. RefSeq lists it as uncharacterized. The record is from RefSeq and is a predicted model, not a curated record. NCBI's taxonomy places the organism in Eukaryota, Metazoa, Chordata, Chondrichthyes, Myliobatiformes, Dasyatidae. The transcript has 5 exons.
CUUCAAUUACUUUGACUUUGUGAAGAACCAAUCUACAACUACUUUUGAAUCACGUUUCAAAUGGAGCAAAGGUGGUCGACGAAGCAAUCCCUCAAUCUUCGUCAGGUUUCACCAAUGUAGAGGAGGCCAGAUCGGGAGCACUGCAUACUGGAGACAACCCCAAAGUAUUCACAGGUGAAGUGUUGCCUCACCAGGAAGGACUGUUUGGCGCUCUGAAUGGAGGUGAGGGCAGAGGAAUCCAAUCUGCACGGAAUGACUGUACAAGAUCAUGAGGUGGAGGUGGUCUGUUGAGGUUCUUCCAACUGGCUUUGGCCCCAUCUCCAGGCCAAUUGAGUGAUCUGGCACUUUGCUGGCUCCAAGGGAGUUCAAAGAGGUUUGGAGUGGAGUGAGUGGCCUGGAGGCCAAGAAAUCUGGAGACGGGGCACAAGCCCAUGAUCAACUCCAUUUCUCACCCUUCUUGCCAAUCAAAACAUCAAGCAAGAUCAAAAUGAACUAGGAUAAGAAUGGAAGGCAAGUGGUCGUUCAGCACUGUCUGCCUGUGUUUAACCAGUUUCUCUCUCUUCCUCUUGCUUGCUGCUGCCAAAGGAAGGUGCCAGAGACUUGGGUUUUGAGCAAGGUUUGAUCAGCGCAGUUUGUGGAUUGAACCCUGCAGUUCAUGUUAUAUGUGUUUCUAGUCACUCCUUUUUUCUAUUGCUAUUUUAUGCAAUUUUGAUCAGGGUGGAAUGGCUCCACUACCUGCAGUCAACGAACAACACAGUGCUAACGAACCGAACUGAAGUAAACUGAACAUUCCUCACCCCGUUUCAAGGACUCCAUGGUUUGGCAACUAUGUGUAUGGCAUCCGUUAGUCUCGCGAGACCAUGGAUCUACACCUGGAACGUCUUCUCCAGGGUGAAGGCCUGGGCAAGGUUGUAUGGAAGACCGGCAGGUGCCCAUGCAGCGAGUCUCCCACACCACGCCACCGAUGUCCAAGGGAAGGGCAAGGGCCGAUACAUCUUGGUACCAGUGACGUCGCAGGAGGAGUUGCCAGAGCGAGGUUGAAGGCAACAUCGGACUGCCUUAGGGACUCCAGCUCCAGAUUUAUCCUCAGGGUUUACUCCCGAAGCCUUUCCCAUGAGUGGGUAUGGCUGCAAGGCAGCGGUGGUUUGAAAUCAGAGAUUUCCUUCUCUUAGAUGGACUGCCUUCCCAGGAUGACGAGCUCCAUCUACCCAAUAACUACAACUAUAAUACAACCAUAUAACCAUAUAACAAUCACAGCAGGGAAGCAGGUCAUCUUGGCCCCUUCAGUCCGUGCUGAACGCUUACUCUCACCUAGUCCCACUGACCCACACUCAACCCAUAACCCUCCAUUCCUUUCCUGUCCAUAUACCUAUCCAAUUUUACUUUAAAUGACAAUACCGAACCUGCCUCUACCACUUCUACUGGAAGCUCGUUCCAUACAGCUACCACUCUCUGAGUAAAGAAAUUCCCCCUCGUGUUACCCUUAAACUUUUGCCCCUUAACUCUCAACUCAUGUCCUCUUGUUUGAAUCUCCCCUACUUUCAAUGGAAAAAGCCUAUCCACAUCAACGCUAUCUAUCCCCCUCAUAAUUUUAAAUACCUCUAUCAAGUCCCCCCUCAACCUUCUAUGCUCCAAAGAAUAAAGACCUAACUUGUUCAAUCUUUCCCUGUAACUUAGGUGCUGAAACCCAGGUAACAUUCUAGUAAAUCUUCUCUGUCCGCUCUCUAUAUUGUUCACGUCUUUCCUAUAAUUCAGUGACCAGAACUGUACACAAUAAUCCAAAUUCGGCCUUACCAAUGCCUUGUACAAUUUUAACAUUACAUCCCAACUCCUAUACUCAAUGCUCUGAUCUAUAAAGGCCAUCUGCCAUCGUUCAGCCCACUCUUAGCUAUAUGCGGAAACUAUAACUAUAUGCGGAAAUUAAACUCAAUGUUCCCUUUCCGAUCUCUGAAGAGUGGGUAUCUGUAACAGUUAUUAUAUUGCUAAUGUGUUUUGUUAUGCUUUCAAUUACAUGCAUAAAAAUGUUAAAGUUUAACAAGUUCUUAAAGCUAGUGGGAAGAUUAUCAACAUAAUGCUCAUUAUAUAACAGAAUAUAAUACAUUGAACUAGUGGUGAUCUUUAAACCUAUUCCAAGAUCAAUUUAACCUAUCCCUCCUACAUGACUCUCCAUUAUUCUAUCAACCAUGCUCCUGUCUAAGAGGUUUUAAUUGUUCCUAAUGUAUCUGCCUCUAUAAGAGAGGAGACGUGAUAGAGGUGUACAAGAUAUUAAGAGGAAUAGACAGAGUGGACAGCCAGCACCUCUUCCCCAGGGCACCACUGCUCAAUACAAGAGGACAUGGCUUUAAGGUAAGGGGUGGGAAGUUCAAGGGGGAUAUUAGAGGAAGUUUUUUUACUCAGAGAGUGGUUGGUGCGUGGAAUGCACUGCCUGAGUCAGUGGUGGAGGCAGAUACACUAGUGAUAGUUUAAGAGACUACUAGACAAGUAUAUGGAGGAAUUUAAAGUGGAGGGUUAUAUGGGAGGCAGGGUUUAAGGGUUGGCAAAACAUUGUGGGCUGAAGGGCCUGUACUGUGCUGUAUUGUUCUAUGUUCUAUGUGUAACCACCCUUGGCAAGACAUUCUAUUGUUACGACUGUGCCCCAACUCUGAGGGGCCGAAGGGUACAAAGUAGCCCCCUCCUUUUUGAGAAUUGCAAGAUCGCUAUUAAUGCGGGUCUGGGACCCAGGAAAUGAGAGGGAGACACACAGAAUCCACAAGGGGUUUGGAAUGCCCUGGCCCCUCAGUGAUACAAAGCCACGGAAAACAGCCAUUGUCUCUUGGAGACGAAAUUGUGUAUUGAGUACUGUACUAUUUAUUUGAAGCCCUCAGGGAAUGAACAAAGUGGUCUGGUUGAGGGAUGGCAUCAUUCUAACCUGAUUGACAUCUGAGACCCCAUGAGUAAGGAUAAAAGAAGGUCUGGGGAACAACCCCUUUAGACGCACCAGGAGAAACGCUAGAAAUCCUGUGACAGCGUUUAAUAGCGACAGCCGGUGGGGCCCGCGUGCAUCCUAUCCCUUUGCCCGGGAUUGGCGGGACUGACCACAGAAGAUGGCUUAGCUAAAAGGAAAAGGACACCAACGACAUUUCGAAGGAUCGACAUCAUAGAAAGGAAAAACUCUGGCAAGUUCCAAAAUCUCUCUCUCUUGACUCCAACCGAAGGCUGCAGCCUGAAUGAACUAAAUUGACUUUUAUAUUUCCAUCGGACAAUACAUUAUCCCCUAGGCAACGAUAGAGCUAUUUCUUAUUGAUUAUUAUUAUACCCGCACUUUUAGAUUUAGUAUUGAUGACGUAUAUUAGCUGUAUGUUCACAUUGAUAUUAUUUUUGUGUAUUUUUAUCAAUAAAUACUGUUAAAAAUAGUACCAUCAGACUUCAACGGACCUCUCUAUCUUUGCUGGUAAUUGACCCAGUUACGGAGUACAUAACUCUAUGCACCCACCAUUCUCUAUGUACAAACGUUUCUAAUACACCCCUCUUUUAACCUUAAAAUUAUGUUCUUUUGUGUUUUCCCACCCUGAAAAAAAAGUCUCUGCUAUCCACUUGACCAAUGCCUCUUAUCAUCUUACACACCUCUAUCAAGUCAUCCCUCUUUAAUUCCUGAACUAGACUGGGCUGGUGCUAAUCCAUUAGCCAGAUCUGGAGAUUACAGCUCCUCUUGUAUUCCCCCAAAUCUGCUGAUCUAAUUUGUGCAUCAAUAAUGACAUGCUCUGUUAUUUGUUGAGAAUCAUCUGGUCGAUUGUGUUCGAGCAGAGCAAACUUUAUUGACAAAGCUCCGUGGUUCUUCGUGCGAUGAAAGGGUCACUCCAAAAGUCCUGUAAACAUUGGAAAAACAUUGGAAGUAUUGUUUGAGGAAAUAAUGCUGAGACAGUUAUUUAGAAACAAUCAAAACCAUGUGCUGUCUUCCUGGAAUUCACAAAUUCUUGUCAAAAAUUUACCAUCGCCAGCCACCAGCCCUAAGCAAGUUCUUUGAUUAUCUUCAUCUGUUCUUUCAGUUGAAAGAAUUUAGUUUGAAACUGAAUUAUGAGCAGGACUUUGAAUCUGCAUUUUGGGAGGAAAUGCACAUCCAUCUUUAAAUUAAUGGGAUAGCCAUGUUAUGUAUGCUGUUGACUACAUAUUUUACAUUGUUCUUUGGCAUCUCUUCCCAGAUUCUCUGCUCCCUUCAAACCAUCCUUUAUACUAGAUGUGCCUUUGCAUUGAAAAAUAUCUUGUGAUUUAUCUUUAAGGACAAAAUGUUUGGCCCCUGGACUGGAUUUUAUAUUACAUUGCGGAAAUUCAAUAAAACAUUGAUUAGAUUGCAUUAGAAGCAGCUCUAAUUGAUUGAAAGAGCACUUCAGAAAUUAGCAGCAAUUCAAACAGUAAGGUCUGAUCAGUCUAUGUUAUCAAUACUCAUUGAAUUAAGAUAGAAGUUUACAUUGCUGCUAUUCAAAGGAAAUAAAUUUUGGUGCACUUGCAACAUUGUCUCAAUAUCCCUCCUUCUCAAACAAUCUGACUUAAAUGCCUGCCAGAUAUAUUGUACAAUCAUUCUAGUUUGGCAGCCGUGGACUUGAGCAACCAAAGAAAAUGUUUCCAAAUACUUUUUCAGAAUCAGAAUCUGGUUUAUUUUUACUGACAUAUGUCAUGUGUUACGAACCCUGUAACUAAGUCACUUACCAGCAAAGAUAGAGAGGCCCGUUGAAGUCUGAUGGUACUAUUUUUAAAAGUCUUUAUUUAUAAAGGGGCACAAAAAUAAGAUUAAUACAGACAUUCAGAUAAAACUCAAUCUAAAAACGCAGGUAUAAUAAUAAUCAUCAAUUAAGCAAUAGCUCUAUCAUUUUUCUAGGGGAUAUUGUAUUGUCCGAUGGAAAGAUAAAAGUCACAGUCCUUUCAAGCUGCAGCUAUUUGGGUUUAAGAGAGACGGUUUUAAACUUGCCCGGGUCUUUUAUGAGGCCAAUCCGUUGCGUCAGGGGAGUUGGUUCCCCGUUGUUAGUUCCAAGUCGUUUUCUGUGGUACCAGCCACCAGCCCCCAGGCAAGGGAACCGAACGCACGUGGCUUCCUUCAAAUGGCUUCCCGCUAUUACGGGAUCGCUAGCGUUUCUUCUGGUGCAUCUGAGGGGCUGUCCCUACAGCCCCCCCUUUUAUCUUAACUCGUCGGGUAGUAGAUGUCAAUCAGGUUGGGGUGAUGUAAUCUCUCUCUCAACCAGCCCACUUUGCCCGAGGGCCUGCACGUAGCAUAGUCCCCAAUCCACAAACGUUGUCUCCAGGAGACAACGGCCAGGUCUCUCUCAUUUCCUGGGUCCUCUGAGCCAACCCAAUAAUGCUCUUGCGAUUGUCUCAAAGGAGGGGGCUCCCCCCACCCCUUCGGCCCCUCAGAGCUGUGGUACAUUCAUAACACAUGAAAUUUGUUCUUUUGCAACAGCAUUACAGUGCAAAACAUAAAAAUACUAUACAUAACAAAAAUAAAUGAAUCAUGUAAAAGAUGUCUAAAGUUAUUUUGUCUCUGAUUUUUUUUGACUCACUCAUGGAGAGACCUUGGCCCUUAGA